GGUUAAGCGACUAAGCGUACACGGUGGAUGCCCUGGCAGUCAGAGGCGAUGAAGGACGUGCUAAUCUGCGAUAAGCGUCGGUGAGGUGAUAUGAACCGUUAUAACCGGCGAUUUCCGAAUGGGGAAACCCAGUGUGUUUCGACACACUAUCAUUAACUGAAUCCAUAGGUUAAUGAGGCGAACCGGGGAACUGAAACAUCUAAGUACCCCGAGGAAAAGAAAUCAACCGAGAUUCCCCCAGUAGCGGCGAGCGAACGGGGAGGAGCCCAGAGCCUGAAUCAGUGUGUGUGUUAGUGGAAGCGUCUGGAAAGGCGUGCGAUACAGGGUGACAGCCCCGUACACAAAAAUGCACAUAUUGUGAGCUCGAUGAGUAGGGCGGGACACGUGGUAUCCUGUCUGAAUAUGGGGGACCAUCCUCCAAGGCUAAAUACUCCUGACUGACCGAUAGUGAACCAGUACCGUGAGGGAAAGGCGAAAAGAACCCCGGCGAGGGGAGUGAAAAAGAACCUGAAACCGUGUACGUACAAGCAGUGGGAGCCUCUUAAUGGGGUGACUGCGUACCUUUUGUAUAAUGGGUCAGCGACUUAUAUUCUGUAGCAAGGUUAACCGAAUAGGGGAGCCGAAGGGAAACCGAGUCUUAACUGGGCGUUAAGUUGCAGGGUAUAGACCCGAAACCCGGUGAUCUAGCCAUGGGCAGGUUGAAGGUUGGGUAACACUAACUGGAGGACCGAACCGACUAAUGUUGAAAAAUUAGCGGAUGACUUGUGGCUGGGGGUGAAAGGCCAAUCAAACCGGGAGAUAGCUGGUUCUCCCCGAAAGCUAUUUAGGUAGCGCCUCGUGAAUUCAUCUCCGGGGUAGAGCACUGUUUCGGCAAGGGGGUCAUCCCGACUUACCAACCCGAUGCAAACUGCGAAUACCGGAGAAUGUUAUCACGGGAGACACACGGCGGGUGCUAACGUCCGUCGUGAAGAGGGAAACAACCCAGACCGCCAGCUAAGGUCCCAAAGUCAUGGUUAAGUGGGAAACGAUGUGGGAAGGCCCAGACAGCCAGGAUGUUGGCUUAGAAGCAGCCAUCAUUUAAAGAAAGCGUAAUAGCUCACUGGUCGAGUCGGCCUGCGCGGAAGAUGUAACGGGGCUAAACCAUGCACCGAAGCUGCGGCAGCGACACUAUGUGUUGUUGGGUAGGGGAGCGUUCUGUAAGCCUGUGAAGGUGGCCUGUGAGGGUUGCUGGAGGUAUCAGAAGUGCGAAUGCUGACAUAAGUAACGAUAAAGCGGGUGAAAAGCCCGCUCGCCGGAAGACCAAGGGUUCCUGUCCAACGUUAAUCGGGGCAGGGUGAGUCGACCCCUAAGGCGAGGCCGAAAGGCGUAGUCGAUGGGAAACAGGUUAAUAUUCCUGUACUUGGUGUUACUGCGAAGGGGGACGGAGAAGGCUAUGUUGGCCGGGCGACGGUUGUCCCGGUUUAAGCGUGUAGGCUGGUUUUCCAGGCAAAUCCGGAAAACCAAGGCUGAGGCGUGAUGACGAGGCACUACGGUGCUGAAGCGACAAAUGCCCUGCUUCCAGGAAAAGCCUCUAAGCAUCAGGUAACAUCAAAUCGUACCCAAAACCGACACAGGUGGUCAGGUAGAGAAUACCAAGGCGCUUGAGAGAACUCGGGUGAAGGAACUAGGCAAAAUGGUGCCGUAACUUCGGGAGAAGGCACGCUGAUAUGUAGGUGAAGCGACUUGCUCGUGGAGCUGAAAUCAGUCGAAGAUACCAGCUGGCUGCAACUGUUUAUUAAAAACACAGCACUGUGCAAACACGAAAGUGGACGUAUACGGUGUGACGCCUGCCCGGUGCCGGAAGGUUAAUUGAUGGGGUUAGCGGUAACGCGAAGCUCUUGAUCGAAGCCCCGGUAAACGGCGGCCGUAACUAUAACGGUCCUAAGGUAGCGAAAUUCCUUGUCGGGUAAGUUCCGACCUGCACGAAUGGCGUAAUGAUGGCCAGGCUGUCUCCACCCGAGACUCAGUGAAAUUGAACUCGCUGUGAAGAUGCAGUGUACCCGCGGCAAGACGGAAAGACCCCGUGAACCUUUACUAUAGCUUGACACUGAACAUUGAGCCUUGAUGUGUAGGAUAGGUGGGAGGCUUUGAAGUGUGGACGCCAGUCUGCAUGGAGCCGACCUUGAAAUACCACCCUUUAAUGUUUGAUGUUCUAACGUUGGCCCGUAAUCCGGGUUGCGGACAGUGUCUGGUGGGUAGUUUGACUGGGGCGGUCUCCUCCUAAAGAGUAACGGAGGAGCACGAAGGUUGGCUAAUCCUGGUCGGACAUCAGGAGGUUAGUGCAAUGGCAUAAGCCAGCUUGACUGCGAGCGUGACGGCGCGAGCAGGUGCGAAAGCAGGUCAUAGUGAUCCGGUGGUUCUGAAUGGAAGGGCCAUCGCUCAACGGAUAAAAGGUACUCCGGGGAUAACAGGCUGAUACCGCCCAAGAGUUCAUAUCGACGGCGGUGUUUGGCACCUCGAUGUCGGCUCAUCACAUCCUGGGGCUGAAGUAGGUCCCAAGGGUAUGGCUGUUCGCCAUUUAAAGUGGUACGCGAGCUGGGUUUAGAACGUCGUGAGACAGUUCGGUCCCUAUCUGCCGUGGGCGCUGGAGAACUGAGGGGGCUGCUCCUAGUACGAGAGGACCGGAGUGGACGCAUCACUGGUGUUCGGGUUGUCAUGCCAAUGGCACUGCCCGGUAGCUAAAUGCGGAAGAGAUAAGUGCUGAAAGCAUCUAAGCACGAAACUUGCCCCGAGAUGAGUUCUCCUGACUCCUUGAGGGUCCUGAAGGAACGUUGAAGACGACGACGUUGAUAGGCCGGGUGUGUAAGCGCAGCGAUGCGUUGAGCUAACCGGUACUAAUGAACCGUGAGGCUUAACCUU
Molecule: ribosomal RNA, 2898 nt
Filed under: Escherichia coli
Lineage: Bacteria; Pseudomonadati; Pseudomonadota; Gammaproteobacteria; Enterobacterales; Enterobacteriaceae
Description: 23S ribosomal RNA
Rfam family: Bacterial large subunit ribosomal RNA
Source: RNAcentral